Coregonus clupeaformis (lake whitefish) is the source of this 1779-nucleotide long non-coding RNA. RefSeq lists it as uncharacterized. The transcript is spliced from 3 exons. The record is from RefSeq and is a predicted model, not a curated record. NCBI's taxonomy places the organism in Eukaryota, Metazoa, Chordata, Actinopteri, Salmoniformes, Salmonidae.
GUGGCCCAGGAACAUAAAGCCUAUGACCCAGACAUGCUUCCAUGUGUAAAUGUUACUGUUCAAAUACCACAGGCAUUUACAACCUCUUCUGAAAUCCCCUAAGAUGGGCCUAUAUUUCACUCUGGAUGUAAAACUGCCAUUACUGCUCUGACCUGUGAGGAACUUGAUAGUGAUCUGAGGUAAACGCAGCUAUUGUACACCAAGAUACAGCUCAUGUCUGAUCCUGUGAUUUAUUCGGUUCUUUCCCAACUUCUGUUUAUUCAUUUAGUUUUAAUCUCACAAUUCUUUCCUGUGUCCUUGUAAAGUGAGAUUUGGAACCUAGCCAGGGGCAUCCCCAGAAGACUUGGCUUACACUACCUAAUAAUACAAUUUUGAUGAGAAAGUGUUAAUGAACGUCAGCUCCUCUUUUCAUUAACACAUGCUCUCAACCAUGUCUCUCCUUUUGUGGUGAAAGAUGUUCACACCAUCACCAUCUCAACGAUUCUACAACAUCACACAUCUCGUUUUGGCUCUGUGGAUCAGCAUUUUGAAUGAGAGUUUGCGUCGAGCACCAAAGCCAACUUAUUGACAUAUUUCUUAAAUUUCAUAUCCUUCUUUCUAUGUAGUGUUGUUGACAACAUGAAGCUGGAAGAACUACCCGGUUGCUACUUUAUUAUAAAGGUGUUAACUCUCCUGUCAAACCCUGUAAAUUACCAUUAGUACUGAAAGAUCAGUAAUGGCUUGUUGAUAUGAACAUAAACUUGAACAAAGUUUGGGCUUCAGUUACAGUACGUAUUUGCAUUUAGCAGAUAGAUGUAGAUAACAGUGAGUAGAUAGAGAACUGACCGUGUGCUCUGUCCUACCCCGCAGUGCCUCGUUUGACUCGACGGUGCGUCUGUGGGACGUGGAGCGAGGUGUGUGUAUCCACACCCUGACCAAACACCAGGAGCCCGUCUACAGUGUGGCCUUCAGCCCCGACGGGAAGCACCUGGCCAGCGGCUCCUUCGACAAGUGUGUACACAUCUGGAACACCAUGUCUGGAGCCUUGGUGCAUAGCUACAGGGGGACCGGUGGGAUUUUUGAGGUGUGCUGGAACAGCACAGGAGACAAAGUUGGUGCUAGCGCUUCAGAUGGAUCGGUAUGUGUUCUCGAGCUCCGAAAAUAGCAUCCUGGCAGUGACUUUGAAGAUGGACCCUGGAAUGUGCGGAAAAAAAUGCCUUCUGCCAGCAGCAAACACACUCUCAUAGUUCAAAGCAGGACUGGCAACGUGGAGGACAACCUCAUAGGGGUGGACACAGGAGACCAACAAAAUACUUUUUUAACUGGCACAACCUACUGAAUGGCAGUUUGUGGAUUUGUGUCUCCUGUUUGAGACCACAAUGAAAAUCUGCAGGGUUAAUUAAUCCACAGGACUGGACUAAAUCCAAUAAAUGUUGUUCAGCCAUGUUUUAAAACGGGCCUAAAGAGGAAGUGAAAGGACCACCUGCCCCUGCUGUUAUUUGGCUAGGGCCUGAAUCAUGAGGAAGAAGGUUUGCAGAGGGAGAGGUCGGUGUGAGGAGAGACAGACCAGUGUUUGGGGUCAAAUUGUGAGAGAAAGGUUGUGUUUUAGAACUUAUCUAAGCACAUGUUAACCCUGUGGUGUCCUGAGUUGAGAAACAAUGUGGGAGACAUGAGUUAGUGCUGCACUGGCCUCCUCAAAUGAUGUGAUGUUUAAGUGGUCCUGAGUGGAAAAGGGUUUCUGUUUCAAGAGCACUUCUUGCUGACUUUUCUCAAAUGGACUUUUGAGAGUCAGAGUAACAA